UCCCUGGUGGCUCAGUGGUAGAGAAUCUGCCUGCAAUGCAGAAGACCCGGGUUCGAUCCCUGGGUGGGGAA
Molecule: transfer RNA, 71 nt
Filed under: Bos taurus (domestic cattle)
Lineage: Eukaryota; Metazoa; Chordata; Mammalia; Artiodactyla; Bovidae
Also listed under: 5 other names
Rfam family: tRNA
About the family: Transfer RNA (tRNA) molecules are approximately 80 nucleotides in length. Their secondary structure includes four short double-helical elements and three loops (D, anti-codon, and T loops).
Source: Rfam by way of RNAcentral